GAAGAUGAAGUAAAAUGAGAGGCAAAGCUGGCAAGUAAAAUUCACAAAACAUUAACAUAAUACAAGUGAAAGUUAACAAUUAACACGUUUUGUCAAUUAAUUGAAAAUCACAAAAUAAGUAGGCAAACAAUUAACAGAUAAGUUAACAAGUUUAUAAUCAAUUAAAUAAGUGACUUAAAUUACACUCAGAAAACAAAAGCAUUGGACGAUCGUCUGAUUAUUAAAAAAAAUUAACAUAAACAAAAGAUCGGUCGCUUAGCAAGAAAGUUGAGGGACAGUUAUCUAAUAAUGGACAGUAUUUACAUUUGUUAAUUACAUUGGGAACGUUACUAACUAGGAUUUAAUUAAAAAUCUGUUAUUUUUACAGUUCUUAAUGACAUUUUCAAUGAAACUUUAAUUACCUAAUUUAUGUAUCAAUGGCAAUAGCAAACGGAUUAGAUGCAAUGGAAUGUGAAUAAUUUUAAUCUUUGUUCAAUGUUCCAUCAACUGCUCUUGAAAUGUACAUUGGUCAAUAGAAACUGAAAGCAAUUCCACAAAACCUUAAAGGAGUGAAAUUUUAGGUCAACUUUAAAAUUUCGUUGGUUUUCAUUUUGAAAAGCCUUCUUCAAACAAGACUGGUCAAUAAUCAAAACCUGCAACUGUUAGGCAUUUUGUGUGUUCUUAAUUAAAAAUUUGGUAAAUGCUUUAAUACAUAAAUUGUUAUUACUUUUGUCUUAAGAAGGUUUAAGAUAAUCUUUACUCACAAUAAUCAACUGUCAUCCACUAAAUCCACCAUUUUCUUUGUCUUUCUUUUCGCUCUAUUAAUCACCUGACCAAAGCUUAUCCUAAAAGCCUUGUCUAGUUCAAGCAAACCUCGAUCUAUCAUGUAAUCACUAUCAAUUUUAUGGAUUAUUUUCCCUAUCAUUUAAUAUUUAGAUGGAAUUAAAGUGAAUGCCAAAAAAUAAAGCGAUAGACGAGAUCAUCAUGGACUUGUAAUCUUUUACAUUAUUAUGGUUAAUCAAGCUGGAAUGAACAUCAAAAUUGCUCCAAAAUCUAACCCUGGCCACCAUUCAAUGAGGAAAGAGGGAAAAACUCAUGAUCUUAUGACCAUUCCAAAUGUAAGAUUUAUUUUGCUCAGGAUUUUACACCCUUUAACGCUGGUCCAACUUUUUUGCAUUGUCACACAUUGAUACAUGGUACAUUAGCCUGGUGUAUUAUUCUGAUGCGGAGUAUAAAUGAAUUUUUAUCGCAGUCACUGAUAUUUGUUCAUGUAUUUUACGCCUAACUGGUAUUAAACAUUACUUCUAUUGCCUGAUAUUAAUGCUAAUUCAAAUGAUAAUGAUGAUAAUGGAGCAAUUGCUGAAUCAAGUAUUACUAUUGAAAUUGGUUUACAAUUGAAUGGAUAACUGUUUACUAAAGGUUGAUGAUAGUGAUGACGAUGAGAAAAAACUAACUUCCAGGUCAUCACCACGUUUGGUAGAUCAUCUUCUCGUGAAUACAUUUAAUUUGCAUUUAAUAUAUGGAUGUCGAUAAAGACAAACAUUGCAAACAUUACAAGUCUAAAUAUUCUGCAAAUCAAUUAAUCGUUUGACCUUUUCUGAUUUAUCAUUUCACUUGCUCUGUUUCAUCUUAAUUUAUCUACUUUUUGCUGAAUCAAUUAACUAACCAACAAUGGAAAGUCAAUGGAACCUGAUUAUUGGAAUCACUCGUAGUUUCUCUUGGAAAUAUCAAGAAAAGGUCUGUGCAUAUCUAGCGAAGGAUCAAAUGGAAAAAGCAUCAGAUGAAAAUAUUUUUAUCAACCUGAUUUAUCAGUCCAAUGAGUGAAAUCUAGUGAAGUUGCAACUCGUUCAAUCAUCAUCAUCAUCAUCAAUUAUCUAUGGGACGGUUUAUGAUUUGAGGUUUAUCCUUCUUUAGUGAAUUAGCUAAAUCAUUUAAAGAUGAAGAAGGUUGGUGCAUAAUAAUUGGUUUUCAAAACGAUGACAAUGCAAUUUCCAGAAUUUUUGGCCCCUUCGCUUACUUCGACUAUUGGAAUAGUAGCUGAACAAUCAGAUUAAAAAAAUAGUGCAAGCUGAUUCAACCCUGAUUGAUUGGAAGUGAAAUAGGAAAAGAGAAAAGUUUUACAACGUUUGACAGAAAACUGUUUCUAGUAAACAGUUUAUAUUACAAACAAUAUAAGAUUCAAAGUUGAAUGUUCAGCUAACAAGUGACAUGGAACUUUCCUAAACUAUUUUAUUAUACUUAACCUGGACCAAUAUAUUGAUUAGAAACAGUAAACCCAGAUAAACUGUAUCAUGAACUCAAGAUUUGAAAGUUAACAGGAGAAACAUUUGGAAAGCUGUAAACAUUGAGCAAAAAAAGAGGACAACAAUUUCAAUUAAAGGGGUAGAUUAACAUGUUGAAGGAAGAAAUAAGUUUGAUGUUUAUGAUGAUUACCUUUAACCAAGACUGGACACAAUUAUUUAUUACUUUAUGGUAGCUGUUGGUUCAACUAAUAAUUGAUUAUGCUUAAGAACAAGAUGACGAAGGAAAGCUGGAAAAUUGAUACCAAUUAAUCAGCAAAAAGUGAAACAAUAGGACAAGAAAUAAGCUUCAAGGAUAAAAGUGAAAAUUGACUUCAAUAUAAAAGAGGAGAUUAAUGGCAAAGAUGGUGAAAAGAGGAAAUAUUAAUAUAAAAUCAGCAAUAAUGGAAUAGUGAAAGUAAAGAAAGAUGAUAACAGCGAUUUCAGUGAUUGCUCCAAGAGUCUAAAAUGGGUUCUAAUCGGAUCUUAAUGAACACAAUAUCAGUGUUAAGGUGUUGAAGGUGGCUGCAAUUUUUACAGCAAAUAAAUCAAUGGUCAUUGAAUAGUGUCUAAAAAUUAUCAUUCCUGAGGAAAGAAACUUUACCAUCAAAGUAUGCUGGACUCUAAUCAAUUGGAUAACUCAGUGGAACUGGACCAUUCAAGGAAGCAUGGAUAAAGAUAUUAUCAAGAACCGUGGAGAAGAAAAGAACAAAAAAAGGUGAAAUGAAAACGAUUAACUGACAUGGUAAUAUUGGAGGAUACUCAGGAAACAUUUCUACCUCCACACUGUGUAUUAAUACACACAAAUAGAUCAAUUGAUGAGGAUGGAGCAAACAAACAAAUAGACCAACUUCACAGACAUGGGACAUGAAAAGACUUCUUAUACAACUGAUACAUAUUACUUGGUCUUCCUGAUUGCUAUCUGUAUUUAGACUGGUUUUUACACUUGAUUGAAGCAACGCCAAAUGAAAGUAUAAACCUUCUUCUUCCAUUGGUGUUGAGAAGGAGAAGGAAAAAUAAGAAAAGGAAAGAUAUCAUUGGUUGUGUUUAUGGAAAGAGUCAAAAGCAUGAAGGGAAUCAAAGGAAGGAAUGAAUUUUUUCCAUCCAACUCAAGGGAACUCUAGUCAAUAUGAAUCGCUUGUUCACUCAUGUUCUUCCACUAUUUCUCAUUGAGCCUCAAGGUUUUUCUCUUUCUCUCCCUGUCUUUUCUCUUCCUUGAAUUUCUUUAGAUAUAAAUAUGGAAAGGAAAGAAAGAUAAAGAUAGGGAAGACGAAAAUAAGAAUAGAAAUAAAAAAAGAAGAAGAGAAAAAAGAGAAUUGGAUCGAUGUGAAUCGACCUUUUUCUUGAAUUUUUUUAUUCAGCUGAUACUUUUGUUAUCGAUCAAGCUAAAUAAUAAUGCAAGAAAACCCUACUGAGGCAAAUUUGCGAGAAUCUAAACAAGAUUGAGAAUAAUAUUAGGGCUGAAAGAAGAACAAGAAUGACAAAAGAUUGUAAAAAGAUUGUAAAAAGGAUGAAAUUUUGUGACUGGAUUGUAAAACAAUAUGGAAUCCAAGAUGACCAAUAUGAAAGUAUUAAAAGUCCAUGCUUUUGAUCAAAGACUUGCAAGGCAAAUCAGGCAAAAACCAAAAUGGUCAAUCCUGAAACAAGAUAAUGGUCGCAAUGGUUUCCCUUCAACUCAUUACUGUCAUUGUUUUUGCCUCUCACUCUUCAUCUAUUUUGUUGGCUAUAUUUUCGGGUUCCUGUUAAAAUGUGAUAAUCAAAAUAAGAUCAAGAAAUUAACCAAGAAAACUCAAUAGGCAAGGAAUUACAUCUAAUUUCCAAUAUUCAUUAUUCAGUAUUCUCAUUAUCGAGAUAAAACAGGAAAUUUUGGGAGAAUCAAUAUUCAACUUUAAAAGUAAAGUGAUACAAAAUUUCAAUUUCAAACAAAAGCCAUUUUGCUCAUCUACUUUCGUCACUGCCAUCAUCAUGAGGAAGCAACAAAUAGAUUUAAUAAUGUAAAUUUCAUGUUGUCCCCUGUUUAUUGAUUCAUGGUUGACAAGUAAUGGAGGAAAAGACUGAGAAGCCAAUGUAAACAAGACAUAAAUAUUAACAAAAAAAGGUCAAAGUUA
Non-coding RNA from Tetranychus urticae (two-spotted spider mite), 4366 nucleotides. NCBI's taxonomy places the organism in Eukaryota, Metazoa, Arthropoda, Arachnida, Trombidiformes, Tetranychidae. The record is from RefSeq and is a predicted model, not a curated record.